This is a long non-coding RNA of Dromaius novaehollandiae (emu), 3174 nucleotides long. RefSeq lists it as uncharacterized. The transcript is spliced from 3 exons. Lineage: Eukaryota; Metazoa; Chordata; Aves; Casuariiformes; Dromaiidae. The record is from RefSeq and is a predicted model, not a curated record.
CCGGGGCCCGGGCGAGCGGCGGCCGGAGGCGCUGGACGGGGCGGCGGGGGGCGGCGGGCAGCGGCGCGGCGCGGCGGGGGGAGGUCUGCGCGCCGGGGCUCGGCGGUACCUCUCGCUGCCCCCGCCCUCCCGCGGCGCUUCGCCCGGCCGGGCAAGCUGUUGCUCUGGCUCCCGGCGGCGGCGGUCGGCGCGGAGAGCGCCCCGGGGGGACGCGAGCUCGCUGCUCCCCGCGGUGCGGGCGGGACGCGGCCCCGCGGGCUAGGCGCGCUCCCGGCAGAUGUCCAUGUAAGUCCGCGAAAGUAACAAAAGUGCUGCGAGUCUCAGCGGCGGCGGCAGCCCGCGGGCAGCCCGGCGGGCGGCGGGGAGCCCGGGCCGGCCCCGGGCGGGGGCACGGCGGGCCAGCAGACGGGAAGUCCCCCGGCGUUGCACACUCCCACACGCCGCUCCGGCGUCUCCUCCGCGCCCCGGCAGCUGCGCGGCCGCGGCCCCGCGCGUCGGCGAGCGAGUAAAUCCCAGCUGCGGCGGCGGCGGCGCGGAGCAGCUCUCCCUGCCGGGCUCGGCAGCUCCCGCCGGGAGCCCGGCGGCCCCCGCCGCAGCGAGGUACGGUCGGGGAGCAGCGGUGCCGACGCUCGGUGCGCGCAGGAAAACGAAGCUCCCCCUGCUGCGGACGGGCGUUGAACUCCCCGGCGCAUCAAGGAAGCCAUGCAUCUUCUAUUUAAAAAUUUGGCAAUUUGGUGCAGUCAUGUGCUGGCUAUUCAACGACUGCAAGUGAGACUUGAAAUUUUGAAAAGAAAUGCUCAGUCCUGUAAUUUGGGGCCUCAAGCAACUGGGGAGUAACAUAUUUUCUAGCGGGGGAAGGGUACACUUAUCUUUAUUGACAAGAAGCGUAUCUCCUGAGCCCAGAGAGGCAUGUUGAUUGACAGUUCCUCUUCACCUGCCCACUGAUGAUGAUUCAUAUCAAGAAGGAAGAGGAAGUAAGCGGGGAAAAAAAAUAAAGGAGGUGCAAGAUCAGUAGCUCUGUGAGUUCCUCCGAGCUACAUCAGAAAAGAUGAACUGUUGCAGUAGUUACCAUGGCUGCGCUGCUCUGUUUACUUCAUGCAAGAUCCAAUACCACCUAACUUUUCUAUAUUGUUUCAAUUGCUUCCCAUCGGAGAACAUUUGCAGACUUUCGCUUUUUUGGAGCCAAAUUCUGUCCCUGGCUUUAAGUCUUCUCAAACUGAUUACUGCAAUGUUUUAUUCAUUACCAUGCGCACUGUUUAAAAGCGGCUGAAAGGAAGGCAGCUGAGCAGUGGAGUUCUGGCUGGUGUUGGGCUGUGGAAACACACAAUCCUACGCGCUUUCCAGGCUAUGCUUAUCAGCUGUCACACUAGUGCAUUCGAUCAGAUGAUUGCAGUUACUUAAAAAUGAAAUUGGUGGUUUACAGAUUUCAUGAAAGACGUGUAACUGCAGGCAGAAGCAGAUGAAUCCUGGGUGAGUGGAACGGGAGCAGACGAUACAUGAAGGACAAGGUCCUAAAUGAUCCUUCUGAAGCAGAGAGAAGCCCCAAGGAGCUUCCCCUUCCUCCUCCCAGCUCUGCUCCCCUGUUCAGAGGGCAGACGCUUUCUGAGCAGGCAGAAAAGCAAAGAUGACACCUUCAGGAAAUAUCAAGAAGGGCGCAUAAUUAGAAGUGUCCUACCCAGCCCUCUGAUUUGCAGUAAUUUUGUGAACAGCAUUCAGCAUCUAUCAUGUUGCCCUUUAGUAUAUUCAGGAUUCUGCCUGACUCUUUCAGAGAACUUCAGGUGGGUGACAUUGUAAUGUGGUACUCAUUUUAGGCACGAUGUCCCUUUUUAAAGGCAUGCAGAGCACAACAUGAUUAGACUUGGUAUUUUACUACAACAGGAGAUCAUCAGGUUUAUCAGGAGGCAGGAUUAAUAUAGAUAUUUGCCUGAGAAAAGCUUUUCUCUGCAAUAUAUUUGUUAAUGAUUUAUGGUGUAGCUUUUACAAAAUUUUAAACAAGAGAAAGGUUUGCAUUGUUAUUAAAUAAUUUUUCUACUGGGGCUGUAAACCUUUAGUUAUAUUGGGAAAACAUAUGUUGAGCUAGUUAUUUAGCAUACAGAGAAGUGCAGUCUUUGUGAUUUUUGUUUUGAUUUUUAUGAAAACUCUCUUAAUUUUGACUUCUAUAAUUAAUUGCUCCAUACUUCCCUAAGCAGUAUAACACAUUGCAGGGAAGUCCCCAGAUAUGCAACACCUCCUCUUUCCUAAGCUAGUUGGGGGACAGCGUAUAAAAGGAACUAAAAGCCUUGGCCAGUGUUGUCUUAGGACCUCAGCUUUAGAGUGAAAGUACUUUCGUGGAAUGAGGUAACAGGAAAAACUAAUUCUUGGAUUCAGAAAAGGGAAGACAUCAUGAGGAACUGUCAGAAGAUUGUUUUCUAAUUUAACUGUUGCUGAUUUAUCUUGAAUGUGCAGUGUGUGGAGGAUACUACAGAAAAUCCAUUAGUUUGGCAGGAGGUCAAUAUUCUCUUAUCAGCAUAGCCAACAGUCUUCCUGAGCAAAUCUGGGGAAAUUAUGUGACAUGUCUAAGCCCCAGUUUUCAAACUCUAAAAUCAGAGUAAUAAUCUGUUGCUUUGUGAUGGUGUUAUAGUGAUAGCCCCCUCUACUUUUUGAAGGCUGGUGCUAUGCUGCUUAAGAUGAUUUAAAAGCCCAUAAUUAAACAUGUCUGCUCUUCAUUAAUAUUGAAAAGCAGUGCGGUUUGCUUAUCACCUCCGUCGGUUGCCAUAGAUGGAGCAGAACUGGCUCGCAGUUGGGAGAACUCUGACACGAUCGGAUGUUGCUUAGUAAGUGAGAUGUUUUGUACAUUUGUCACUGUGUAAAAUACAUCUAUUUUAAUGCAUGACUAAGAGUAGAAAAUUUAAACCACAAGGGUAAAUCAAUUAAAUGCUCUUAUUCUUGUACCGGGUAUGCAUUUCUAAUGGAAGGUUUUGUAGUGUGUUGUUACAUUGCUCCACCGUACUGACAAACGUGUUAUUAUACACAACCAAUCUAAAUCUGACUCAGUUACCCUGCAGAUAAUUUUAAAACACCUUAAAAAUUUUAAUCAUGAAGCACUAGAAUACCACUUUUAAAAAACCCUAAUUUAAACAUACAAGUGGAAAUAGCAAGAUGACAAGGAGUGGAUUAAACACUUACGGAAACCAA